AGGGAAGGGGCCACCAUGGGAUGUACUCUGAGCGCAGAGGAGAGAGCCGCCCUCGAGCGGAGCAAGGCGAUUGAGAAAAACCUCAAAGAGGAUGGCAUCAGCGCCGCCAAAGACGUGAAAUUACUCCUGCUCGGGGCUGGAGAAUCAGGAAAAAGCACCAUUGUGAAGCAGAUGAAGAUCAUCCAUGAAGAUGGCUUCUCCGGAGAAGACGUGAAACAGUACAAGCCUGUUGUCUACAGCAACACCAUCCAGUCCCUGGCAGCCAUCGUCCGGGCCAUGGACACUUUGGGCAUCGAAUAUGGUGAUAAGGAGAGAAAGGCUGACGCCAAGAUGGUGUGUGAUGUGGUGAGUCGGAUGGAAGACACCGAGCCCUUCUCUGCAGAGCUGCUUUCUGCCAUGAUGCGGCUCUGGGGCGACUCAGGAAUCCAAGAGUGCUUCAACCGGUCCCGGGAGUAUCAGCUCAACGACUCUGCCAAAUAGUGAGUGUCCCAGCGGGCGCAUGGCCUGGAGCCGGGCAGUGAUGCGGGAGUGGAAGGGACUGGUGAUGGGGACUGGCAGAGCAAGGAGGAUUCUCGGCUGAGGUCACGCCUGCCGGGAGAUGUUCUCCCAUAGGUAGAGGGUGUCAGGAAGGAAUGAGAAGGGGCCUCUCUUCCUGCCCCCCAGGAGGAGAAAGAGGCCAGAGGAGGCAGAGGACACAAGAGACAACCAAACAGUGGAAAUUCCCAGAGGGCCGGGACCUUGUCACUGGCUUGUCCUGGAGAGUGCCUGGCACUGCAAAAAGACAGCUUUCAAGUGUAGCAGCUUCGUUUUUUUAUAGGGAGCCCCUGACCGCAUAAAUACAAACCAAAACAACAGCCAUAUAGGCAGAAAGGAAAUGGUGCCAUUUUGUUUUAUUUUAGAAAAAAUAAUAAGCUUUCCAUUCCCCA
Molecule: small RNA, 926 nt
Filed under: Pan troglodytes (chimpanzee)
Lineage: Eukaryota; Metazoa; Chordata; Mammalia; Primates; Hominidae
Description: retained intron
Source: RNAcentral